CCUACGGGUGGCAGCAGUGGGGAAUAUUGCACAAUGGGGGAAACCCUGAUGCAGCGACGCCGCGUGAGUGAAGAAGGAUGUCGGUAUGUUAAGCUCUAUCAGCAGUGAAGAAAAUGCCGGUACCUGAUGAAGAAUGACCGGCUAACUACGUGCCAGCAGCACCGGCACUACGGAGGGGGCAAGCGUUAUCCGGAUUUACGGGGUGUAAAGGGGGCGUAGAGGGGAGCACAAGUCGUGAGUGAAAUGCCGGUGCUUAACACCGGAACUGCCUUUGAAACUGUGCAGCUAGAGAGCAGGAGAGGUAAGUGGAAUGCCUGGUGUAGCGGUGAAAGGCGUAGAGAUUAGGAAGAACACCAGUGGCGAAGGCGGCUUACUGAACUGUAACUGACGUUGAGGCUCGAAAGCGUGGGGAGCAAACAGGAUUAGAUACCCCAGUAGUC
RNAcentral lists this ribosomal RNA (440 nucleotides) under uncultured bacterium. RNAcentral's name for it is "partial 16S ribosomal RNA". It matches the Rfam family "Bacterial small subunit ribosomal RNA", at positions 338 to 795 of the family's 1533-position model. The record is from RNAcentral.